Molecule: non-coding RNA, 489 nt
Organism: Oryctolagus cuniculus (rabbit)
Lineage: Eukaryota; Metazoa; Chordata; Mammalia; Lagomorpha; Leporidae
Source: the annotation of a RefSeq genome assembly
AUGGGCACCAGGCUGCUCUGCUGGGCAGUGCUCUGUCUCCUGGGGGCAGUUGGACCAGAAGAGCCCGCUGACCCGCCCGCUCCUGCCAUGAGUGUGGGUCCCCUGAGCUGUGUGGUCCUUUGUCUCCUGCUGGCAGGUCCAGCGAAUGCUGGUGUCACUCAGAGCCCCAAGUUCCAGGUCCUAAAGACAGGACAGAGCCUGACCUUGAGAUGUGCCCAGAAUAUGAACUAUGACUACAUGUGCUGGUACCGCCAGGACCCAGGGCUGGGGCUGAAGCUCAUCUAUUACUCAGUUGACCAUGACAUCUAUGAGAAAGGAGACGUUCCCGAUGGGUACAACACGUUCAGACAAAGCACAGAGGAGUUCCACCUCACGCUGCCGUCAGCUGUCCCCUCACAGACAUCUGUGUACUUCUGUGCCAGCAGUUACCACAGCCCUCCACAGCCACCUGCUGUCUGCACAACAUCCAGGCAGGCACUGUGCCCCUGA